AACGAACGCUGGCGGCGUGCCUAACACAUGCAAGUCGUACGAGAAAGCCUGGGCAACUGGGUGAGUAAAGUGGCGCACGGGUGAGUAACACGUGGGUAACCUACCCUCGAGUCGGGGAUAACUCCGCGAAAGCGGGGCUAAUACCGGAUGAUGUUUCGGUGUCUUCGGACGCUGAAACCAAAGGUGGCCUCUGCAUGCAAGCUAUCACUUGAGGAUGGGCCCGCGUACCAUUAGCUAGUUGGUAGGGUAAUGGCCUACCAAGGCAACGAUGGUUAGCUGGUCUGAGAGGAUGACCAGCCACACUGGAACUGAGACACGGUCCAGACUCCUACGGGAGGCUG
This 341-nucleotide ribosomal RNA is filed under the name uncultured Pseudomonadota bacterium. Its description in RNAcentral is "bacterial SSU rRNA". It matches the Rfam family "Bacterial small subunit ribosomal RNA", at positions 29 to 351 of the family's 1533-position model. Lineage: Bacteria; Pseudomonadati; Pseudomonadota. The record is from RNAcentral.